This 253-nucleotide ribosomal RNA is filed under the name uncultured bacterium. Its description in RNAcentral is "partial 16S ribosomal RNA". It matches the Rfam family "Bacterial small subunit ribosomal RNA", at positions 524 to 776 of the family's 1533-position model. The record is from RNAcentral.
UACGUAGGUGGCAAGCGUUAUCCGGAUUUACUGGGUGUAAAGGGAGCGCAGGCGGUUCUGCAAGUCUGAUGUGAAAGCCCGGGGCUCAACCGCGGGACUGCAUUGGAAACUGCGGGACUGGAGUGUCGGAGGGGUAAGCGGAAUUCCUGGUGUAGCGGUGAAAUGCGUAGAUAUCAGGAGGAACACCGGUGGCGAAGGCGGCUUACUGGACGAUGACUGACGCUGAGGCUCGAGAGCGUGGGGAGCAAACAGG